Molecule: long non-coding RNA, 1251 nt
Filed under: Marmota monax (woodchuck)
Lineage: Eukaryota; Metazoa; Chordata; Mammalia; Rodentia; Sciuridae
Source: RNAcentral
UCGCGCUGGCUGCCUAACGCCGCCGCCGCGGUGAAAACCCAACCCGGAAGCUACCGAGAGGGGGCGCAAACGCACCCGCCACUAGGGGCGCUUUGCGCCGCCGCCAAGCCGCGCCCCCGGCACCUGACCACGCCUCUCAGACUGCGCCGGCGCGGGCGCUGUCCCCGACAUCCUGAGGCUCGCGGGUGGGGACUGCUCUAGAGCGCUGGCACCGAGUCUGUCCCGCGGGGACGGGCAGCGCGUACGGAGGUGCCGCAGGUGAUGACAGCGGCAGAGCCUAGCAGUCAGACAGAACCGCCGUUCCUCGUCCGAGGUGGACGUGUCUCUGCCUGAGCGCACAGGGCUGGAGUGCAGGGCCGGAGGUGGGGGCGGGGCUUCAGGUGAGGCCCGGAUGUGUAGAGGUCUUUACACUGGGGGCAGGAGUCCAGGUAGCCCUAACCAGGAGCUGCGGGUGGAUCAGGCUCCUGACGGGAAUGGAGUGGGAUUGUGACUGCCCAGGAUCACACCCCGAGCUCGAUGGUCCCAAAGCCUCAGACACCAGCUCAUCCGCCUUGCAGUCUCUCCCAGCUCAGCCUGGUGUUGGAAAGAGAAACAUGAAGGUCCCCACGGCAGAACAGUCACAUCCUAGAUGGUAGAAGGAAGCCAGGUCUGCAGCUCAACGCAGAAUUUACACUCUGGGCGCUCCACCUCCAGCCCCUUACUAUGUAAUCUUGUACUACCAUUUUCUUAUCUGAGAAUGGAAAUAAUAGAGGUGACGUGAGAAUUCAGUUAAUGUAUUUAUGAAGCCUUUAGAACAAGGGUGUGGUGGAGGGAGGGAGGGAGAGAGGAUAGUUAGUGGGUACAAUUGAAUAGGAAGAAUGAUGCCUGAUGGUCCGCCGCACAGUAGGACAACGGCAGCUGAUAACAAUUGAGAGGAUUCUGAGUGUUUCCAACAAAGAAAUGAUAUUUGUCUUCACUGACUUUUUUUUUUUUUUUUUUUUUAGAGAGAGAAUUUCAAUACACAACCCAGGCUGCAUGCAUGCCAGGCGAGCGCGCUACCACUUGAGCCACAUCCCCAGCUCUCUUCACUGACAUUUGAUCCUUACAUCAAAUCCUUACCCUGAUUUUGAUCCUUACACAUUGUAUACUUGUAUUGAAAUACCACACUAUACUCCCUAAAUAUGUGUAAUUACUGUCAGUUAAAAAUGUAUUAAAAUAAAGCAGCACCUUUUGUCUUGUGGAAAAGAAAUUUAGAACAGUGGCAAAGUACAA